This 1835-nucleotide long non-coding RNA is filed under the name Canis lupus familiaris (dog). RNAcentral's name for it is "lncRNA (ENSCAFG00845011601.1)". The record is from RNAcentral. Lineage: Eukaryota; Metazoa; Chordata; Mammalia; Carnivora; Canidae.
UUAUUAGAAUCUUCAUUGGCAUUAUUAUUUGAUCAUAAAGAGGGGGAAUAUGUCUACUUGUUGAGUUUUUCAAAUCUUUUUUCCUGAAUAUAAAUAAGACUGUUUAAAGGAAUAGUUUUUUCUCCUACCAUCUGAUACCGAGUAAAGAAAAUGAAUUUGCACAGAUUUCUCCCUGCGUAAUCUCUUGGCAAUAAUCCUUAGCAAAGUUUGGGGAUGACUUUUAAGCUUUUACGUCAUGCAUUCGUACCUGUCUCUCAUGAAAAUAAAUGAGACCAUGAUUUCUCCCCACAGUGUUAUCAUGAGUUUAAUCUUCAUGUGUGUAUUCCUUAAACACGGCAGACCUUUGGACUUUGUAUUACCUGUAUGUUUUAUAAUGGAUCAUGCAAAAUGUCUCAGGAGAAUAAAAUAAGGAUUUGUAAAUAUGUUCAUCUUUCAAGGCAAAGCAAAUGAGUUGGGAAGAGGGCAUUUCUGGUCGAAUAAUGGAAUAUUUUCAUUUUUUUUAUGUCAUUCUCUGCUGCCUAAUUGUUCAGCAUAGCGAAAACUGGAAAAAAGCAAAAAGCGAAGAAAAAAGAAAUAACCACACACACACACACACACACAAACCCCAGCAGCAGCCUCUUCUCUGGAAAGUGACAGCAGAAAUUGGUGGCAUGGAGUUUUUGUCCUUGGACAAUAAAACCACAAAUAGUGGGAUUAAUCAUUAUUAUAAGAAGACAGUUGAGGCCAAGUUUUGGCCAUUCUUUACUUUGUUUUAUCUGCCGAAACAAUUAGCCAAGAUGCUGUGAAAGACAGGCUUUUUGUGACCUUUUGCUGUUGUCUUUUAAUUUACAAACAGUUUUGGUAAAUCUCUUAAUGUAAGUGGCUCUUUGACUUUGGAAUUUUGCGUUUGAGGUAUUCUGUUUCUUGAAAUAUUUUUAUUGUUCAGUUGCUCUGGAAAAUGUGAGGAAGCUUAAGUUUAUAUUAAAUUCUUACUGCCAUCCUUUAGUCAAAUAUGUCUUCACAUUGUUUAAAAAUAUUAUUUUCCAGCAUAUAAUUUUUUCCUGUACUACAUGGCUAGGAGUCUAGAGAAUUAAUUAUAAAAUAUUUUCAAUACAUCCACCAUUGCACUUCUCAUUUUUUAAAAUGAUCCCUUUGCCAUAUAGAAUCUUAGAUUGAGAGCUGACAGUGCCUGUGUCACCCAUAGUUAUGUUUUCUUCAGUGAUGGGCAUGUUAGGGGGCCAGGUGCUGGGUCAGUUUUAUUGGGUCUCCUGUGUCCUCAAUCAAAACAUCAACACAGAGAUGGAAUACUUGCUGGACCGUAGAUCAGUGUUCAUGAGGGCUUUUUGAAAUUUUAAAUUCCCUUUUUUCUCAUGCUCUUGUCGUACAGCAACCAGCCUAAUAAAACUACAAAAUAUUCGACCAAAAUUAAGCAAUUUCAUGGUGUAAAUCCUUCCUGACCAAGUCGGUUCUGGUGAGCUCCCUAGGCAUGAGGCUUGGGUACAACCUGUCAUGUUAGUUGACCUCCCACAUCCAUUUCGAAGAUCAAAGCCAGGGACUGGCUAACUUCAGUCCCAUGAGCUGGGAAUGGUCUUUACGUUGUUUUCAAAAAAAGGGUUUUAUGAUGUUGAAGAUGAUUAUUCAAAUUUUAGUGUUUAUAGUUUUAUUGAAACAACCAUGCUCGUUUGUUUACAUAUUGCCUGUAGCUACUUUUGUGCCACAGAGGUUCACUGUUACAUAGUUGGAGAUGAGACGGGCCUACAAAGCCCAAAUAAUUACUGUCUGGCCCUUUACAGAAAAAACCACCGCUGUUUAGACUGUGAUUCACCCGUCAUAUAUUAAAGUGUAUGAUGCUUCCU